This 504-nucleotide ribosomal RNA is filed under the name uncultured bacterium. RNAcentral's name for it is "partial 16S ribosomal RNA". It matches the Rfam family "Bacterial small subunit ribosomal RNA", at positions 29 to 523 of the family's 1533-position model. The record is from RNAcentral.
AUUGAACGCUGGCGGCAGGCCUAACACAUGCAAGUCGGACGGUAGCACAGAGAGCUUGCUCUUGGGUGACGAGUGGCGGACGGGUGAGUCAUGUCUGGGGAUCUGCCCGAUAGAGGGGGAUAACCACUGGAAACGGUGGCUAAUACCGCAUAACGUCGCAAGACCAAAGAGGGGGACCUUCGGGCCUCGCACUAUCGGAUGAACCCAGAUGGGAUUAGCUAGUAGGCGGGGUAAUGGCCCACCUAGGCGACGAUCCCUAGCUGGUCUGAGAGGAUGACCAGCCACACUGGAACUGAGACACGGUCCAGACUCCUACGGGAGGCAGCAGUGGGGAAUAUUGCACAAUGGGCGCAAGCCUGAUGCAGCCAUGCCGCGUGUAUGAAGAAGGCCUUCGGGUUGUAAAGUACUUUCAGCGGGGAGGAAGGCGGUGCGGUUAAUAACCGCGUCGAUUGACGUUACCCGCAGAAGAAGCACCGGCUAACUCCGUGCCAGCAGCCGCGGUAA